UUGAAUUUUUGUUUUAUGCCAUGUGCUUGCUCAUUAUAUAAUUUUGAAUUAUUUAUUACAUGUGAUGUAAAUUAAUUUAGGGCUAAGCAUAUAGAUAGUUAAACUAAAUUCACAUACUAUAAAAGAUUCGAUCUUUGUGUUAUUAAAAAUAGUUUUUGUGACAAUUCCCUCUUAUUAAAAUUUUGAGUUCUUAAAUAAUAAAAUAUAAGAUAUUUUAUUAUAAAGCUAUCCAUCAAGGUAAUUAAUUUUACUUACUUCUUGUUUAUAAGGAGCGGCCUGACUACUAGGAGACUUAUAGUUCGAGAAUAUGUUAAAAUUAUUUAUUGCGUUAGAUGUAUGGAUUGAAAGGAUUAUUCAAUUUUACACUAAACGACUGGACAACUCGGGAGAGUAUAAAAUUUAAUAAGUUCUUUGCAAUCAUGAUGGUUGAACUCAACUAUGCCAAUAGGAA
RNAcentral lists this long non-coding RNA (451 nucleotides) under Nicotiana benthamiana. RNAcentral's name for it is "long non-coding RNA (NBEN_LNC025197)". Lineage: Eukaryota; Viridiplantae; Streptophyta; Magnoliopsida; Solanales; Solanaceae. The record is from RNAcentral.